Molecule: ribosomal RNA, 404 nt
Filed under: Actinomycetes bacterium
Lineage: Bacteria; Bacillati; Actinomycetota; Actinomycetes
Description: Actinobacteria bacterium partial 16S ribosomal RNA
Rfam family: Bacterial small subunit ribosomal RNA
Source: RNAcentral
UGGGGAAUAUUGGACAAUGGGCGCAAGCCUGAUCCAGCCAUGCCGCGUGAGUGAUGAAGGCCCUAGGGUUGUAAAGCUCUUUCACCGGGGAAGAUAAUGACGGUAACCGGGGAAGAAGCCCCGGCUAACUUCGUGCCAGCAGCCGCGGUAAUACGAAGGGGGCUAGCGUUGUUCGGAUUUACUGGGCGUAAAGCGCACGUAGGCGGACUUUUAAGUCAGGGGUGAAAUCCCGGGGCUCAACCCCGGAACUGCCUUUGAUACUGGAAGUCUUGAGUAUGGUAGAGGUGAGUGGAAUUCCGAGUGUAGAGGUGAAAUUCGUAGAUAUUCGGAGGAACACCAGUGGCGAAGGCGGCUCACUGGACCAUUACUGACGCUGAGGUGCGAAAGCGUGGGGAGCAAACAGG